This 365-nucleotide ribosomal RNA is filed under the name uncultured eukaryote. RNAcentral describes it as "partial 18S ribosomal RNA". It matches the Rfam family "Eukaryotic small subunit ribosomal RNA", at positions 592 to 976 of the family's 1831-position model. The record is from RNAcentral.
CAAUAGCGUAUAUUUAAGUUGUUGCAGUUAAAAAGCUCGCAGUCGGAUUUUGGCUGAGAACGAACGGUCCGCCGUUAGGUGUGCACUGUUUGGUCUCAGCUUCCUGGUGAGGAGGUGUGCUUCACGGCCACUUAGUCACCGUGGUUACUUUGAAAAAAUUAGAGUGUUCAAAGCGGGCUUACGCUUGAAUAUAUUAGCAUGGAAUAACACCAUAGGACUCCUGUCCUAUUUCGUUGGUCUCGGGACGGGAGUAAUGAUUAAGAGGAACAGUUGGGGGCAUUCGUAUUUCAUUGUCAGAGGUGAAAUUCUUGGAUUUAUGAAAGACGAACUUCUGCGAAAGCAUUUGCCAAGGAUGUUUUCAUUGA